UGGGGAAUCUUCCGCAAUGGACGAAAGUCUGACGGAGCAACGCCGCGUGAGUGAUGACGGCCUUCGGGUUGUAAAGCUCUGUUAAUCGGGACGAAUGGUUCUUGUGCAAAUAGUGCGAGGAUUUGACGGUACCGGAAUAGAAAGCCACGGCUAACUACGUGCCAGCAGCCGCGGUAAUACGUAGGUGGCAAGCGUUGUCCGGAAUUAUUGGGCGUAAAGCGCGCGCAGGCGGAUUGGUCAGUCUGUCUUAAAAGUUCGGGGCUUAACCCCGUGAUGGGAUUGAAACUGCCAAUCUAGAGUAUCGGAGAGGAAAGUGGAAUUCCUAGUGUAGCGGUGAAAUGCGUAGAUAUUAGGAAGAACACCAGUGGCGAAGGCGACUUUCUGGACGAACACUGACGCUGAGGCGCGAAAGCCAGGGGAGCGAACGGG
Molecule: ribosomal RNA, 429 nt
Filed under: bacterium
Lineage: Bacteria
Description: partial 16S ribosomal RNA
Rfam family: Bacterial small subunit ribosomal RNA
Source: RNAcentral